AUGCAACAGAGUUCAAACUUAAACCAUGAUUUAACCAGGAUUAACAGUUUAUCCUUGUUGGUGCGUUCUCUUGUUUCAGUAAAUGAGCUGGAGCUUCAUGUGAGAGGACACACCCACUGGUCCUCAGUGUCCUCAGUGAGAUCACACCUGUUUACUUUAAUUACCUGGACCGACCUCAGUGUGGACGGAUGUGUCUUAGAGGAAACCUGCCUGAGUCGUGUUCCCAACAUGAAAAAACAAGUGAAAUUUGCAGAGAGUCAGACGAUCCACAGGCUCUAUCAGGACGAGGCUCUGCCGAGAAGCAACAGGAAGUCCAAAGAUGUAUUAAAAGAUGCCAGCAUGAACUCCAACAAUGGUUUGAAAACCAGCAGACCAGCAGCUGUGAGAUCUGAACCAGAACUCCAACACGUGACGACCAUAACAAUCCCCAAAACCAUGACAGGGAGCCCCAUUCCUGAAGCACUCAGCUCUGACGCCGGCUCAGAAGGAGUUUCUGUACACCAUUGCAGCUUCUUCCAGCACCACACACGUCCGAAACCUCAUCACACAACACUACAUGAACGUGCUGCACAGGUGUGUCCGCACAGGCCGCAACCCUGAAGGAGACGACGCUGUCGGGACUUCCUUACCAGAGACUAAUGAGGGGGAGAAACAUCGAUCUGAGGUUUCUUCUCGUGUGAAAAACAUGAAGAUAAACACCAGAGCAAAGAAUCCUGGGAAAUCAUUUCUUCCCAAAAUCCCCAACAGACAAACCAGGUGGGACUCAGAGUUUAACAGAUAUUAUAGGAGAAGGAGAACAUGUUUAAAUUUUGUUUACUGACAUCUCUCCUUGGAAAGAAAGAUGAAACAGAACUCUUAACCAACUUUAAUGAUCCACUUUGCAGGAUUUCCAACACAUCAGCAACCAAACAAAGAUCGAUGAAGAAAUCUACAACAACAUCACCAGCAGUGAGAAGGAAAAGUCCAAGAAGUAAGUACUUAGAUCGAGAAUAAAUAUGUUAUUGUAGCAGUCAUGUCAUGUUUUAGUUUCAUAUUUGUGUUUCUGUUUCCAGGAGUGUUGGAGGAGGAGGAAGGACUGACCGACUCUCUGAGUGACUGCCUGAGCUCGCUCUCUGUAGGAGAGUGGGAUGACGACGUCCUCUCAGAUUUAUGACAUUUCACACUCUCAUUUUUAUGAAACCUGAGAACAAUAUCGAAGAGGUUUCCUUCCCCUCUCUCUUCACCUUCCCCUCUCUCUUCACCUUCAUAGCUGCAGGUCAGACUUACAAACCUGUCGUCAUCUGUCAAAUAGGGGAUCUAAAUAAAGAAGUCUUCUCUGUUUACACUUCACCAUGUGUUGUACACUUUAGCGCCCUCCAGUGGCAGCAAGAGGAGAGUUUUUGUUCAUUUCAUUUCAAAGAAAUCACGUGUUCAGUUCUUAUCUCAGAGGAAAAGCAUGAGCUCAACUUCUGAAAGGUUUCCUUCAGUCAUUGACCUUUAAACAAAUGUUAUCUCCCAACAUGAAAUAUAAAUGAUGUUUCAAACACUUCUUUACAAUGCCGGGAAUGUAAUUGUUGACUAAUACUGAUAAAUGUGUAAUAUAAAGUUCUCUAAAAUUGUUUUGUAUUUAUUUCUGAUCAUUUCUCAUGUACUGUAUUUAGUCACAUUCAGGACGAUUCUUACACACUUUCUGACCAAACAAUCACAUUACACAUUUUUGACAUUUAUUUGGCUGCUAAAAC
Molecule: long non-coding RNA, 1721 nt
Organism: Sparus aurata (gilthead seabream)
Lineage: Eukaryota; Metazoa; Chordata; Actinopteri; Spariformes; Sparidae
Source: Ensembl